AGAGUUUGAUCCUGGCUCAGGACGAACGCUGGCGGCGUGCUUAACACAUGCAAGUCGAACGAUGAAGCCCUUCGGGGUGGAUUAGUGGCGAACGGGUGAGUAACACGUGGGCAAUCUGCCCUUCACUCUGGGACAAGCCCUGGAAACGGGGUCUAAUACCGGAUAACACUCUGUCCCGCAUGGGACGGGGUUAAAAGCUCCGGCGGUGAAGGAUGAGCCCGCGGCCUAUCAGCUUGUUGGUGGGGUGAUGGCCUACCAAGGCGACGACGGGUAGCCGGCCUGAGAGGGCGACCGGCCACACUGGGACUGAGACACGGCCCAGACUCCUACGGGAGGCAGCAGUGGGGAAUAUUGCACAAUGGGCGAAAGCCUGAUGCAGCGACGCCGCGUGAGGGAUGACGGCCUUCGGGUUGUAAACCUCUUUCAGCAGGGAAGAAGCGAAAGUGACGGUACCUGCAGAAGAAGCGCCGGCUAACUACGUGCCAGCAGCCGCGGUAAUACGUAGGGCGCAAGCGUUGUCCGGAAUUAUUGGGCGUAAAGAGCUCGUAGGCGGCUUGUUGCGUCGGUUGUGAAAGCCCGGGGCUUAACCCCGGGUCUGCAGUCGAUACGGGCAGGCUAGAGUGUGGUAGGGGAGAUCGGAAUUCCUGGUGUAGCGGUGAAAUGCGCAGAUAUCAGGAGGAACACCGGUGGCGAAGGCGGAUCUCUGGGCCAUUACUGACGCUGAGGAGCGAAAGCGUGGGGAGCGAACAGGAUUAGAUACCCUGGUAGUCCACGCCGUAAACGUUGGGAACUAGGUGUUGGCGACAUUCCACGUCGUCGGUGCCGCAGCUAACGCAUAAGUUCCCCGCCUGGGGAGUACGGCCGCAAGGCUAAAACUCAAAGGAAUUGACGG
RNAcentral lists this ribosomal RNA (892 nucleotides) under Streptomyces sp. RNAcentral describes it as "bacterial SSU rRNA". It matches the Rfam family "Bacterial small subunit ribosomal RNA", at positions 8 to 916 of the family's 1533-position model. The record is from RNAcentral. Lineage: Bacteria; Bacillati; Actinomycetota; Actinomycetes; Kitasatosporales; Streptomycetaceae.